UACAUGCAGUCGAGCGAAUGGAUUAAGAGCUUGCUCUUAUGAAGUUAGCGGCGGACGGGUGAGUAACACGUGGGUAACCUGCCCAUAAGACUGGGAUAACUCCGGGAAACCGGGGCUAAUACCGGAUAACAUUUUGAACCGCAUGGUUCGAAAUUGAAAGGCGGCUUCGGCUGUCACUUAUGGAUGGACCCGCGUCGCAUUAGCUAGUUGGUGAGGUAACGGCUCACCAAGGCAACGAUGCGUAGCCGACCUGAGAGGGUGAUCGGCCACACUGGGACUGAGACACGGCCCAGACUCCUACGGGAGGCAGCAGUAGGGAAUCUUCCGCAAUGGACGAAAGUCUGACGGAGCAACGCCGCGUGAGUGAUGAAGGCUUUCGGGGUCGUAAAACUCUGUUGUUAGGGAAGAACAAGUGCUAGUUGAAUAAGCUGGGCACCUUUGAGGGUAGCUACCAGAAAGCCACGGCUUACUACGUUGCAACCAGCCGCGUAAUUACUAAGGUGGC
This 505-nucleotide ribosomal RNA is filed under the name Bacillus cereus. RNAcentral's name for it is "bacterial SSU rRNA". It matches the Rfam family "Bacterial small subunit ribosomal RNA", at positions 52 to 535 of the family's 1533-position model. Lineage: Bacteria; Bacillati; Bacillota; Bacilli; Caryophanales; Bacillaceae. The record is from RNAcentral.